UCAAAAAAAAAAAAAAAAGAAAGGAUAGAGAUGAGGUUGGCUUAUCUGACUUUGGGGCCAAGAAAGAUUUGGUAGCAAUUGGAUGGACCUUUGUAGCUUUUAAACAACUAGAUUAGGAUUAAGCUUCUUUGUUUUUUAGGUCAGUUAAAUUUAUUAUGUGAUCCAUUAAGCUAUGUGGAGUUUGAAAUCAUGUCUUUGGAUUUGCUUUUGUUAAGAAUAGUAUUGUUGUAAGCGCACAUUUCCAUGCAUGGCAGUCAUUAGUUUAUGGAGUAACAUUGCUGUGAUCGCAUGUCUCUUAUGAAAUAGUUUGUUCUUGUUUCAGGUGUGUACGGGUGCAAAAAGUGAACAGCAGUCAAAAUUGGCAGCAAGG
RNAcentral lists this unclassified non-coding RNA (370 nucleotides) under Hevea brasiliensis (rubber tree). The record is from RNAcentral. Lineage: Eukaryota; Viridiplantae; Streptophyta; Magnoliopsida; Malpighiales; Euphorbiaceae.